GGUUGAUAUUCCUGUACCACCUCUUUAUCGUUUGAGCAAUGGAGGGACGCAGAAGGAUAGAAGAAGCGUGCGAUUGGUUGUGCACGUCCAAGCAGUUAGGCUGAUAAGUAGGCAAAUCCGCUUAUCGUAAAGGCUGAGCUGUGAUGGGGAAGCUCCUUAUGGAGCGAAGUCUUUGAUUCCCCGCUGCCAAGAAAAGCUUCUAGCGAGAUAAAAGGUGCCUGUACCGCAAACCGACACAGGUAGGCGAGGAGAGAAUCCU
This 259-nucleotide ribosomal RNA is filed under the name Bacillus cereus. RNAcentral's name for it is "partial 23S ribosomal RNA". It matches the Rfam family "Bacterial large subunit ribosomal RNA", at positions 1428 to 1682 of the family's 2925-position model. Lineage: Bacteria; Bacillati; Bacillota; Bacilli; Caryophanales; Bacillaceae. The record is from RNAcentral.